Molecule: long non-coding RNA, 715 nt
Filed under: Bos taurus (domestic cattle)
Lineage: Eukaryota; Metazoa; Chordata; Mammalia; Artiodactyla; Bovidae
Description: long non-coding RNA NONBTAT020196
Source: RNAcentral
AAAAAAAAGGAGAAAGAAAGCCUGAUCUUGUUUUAACCAUCAUGCUUAUGUUAGCUCCAAGCAAUCCUAAAAAUGAUGAUAGUAUUUAAUAAGCUCAAAGUACUUGAUCGUGGUAAACUAAAUUAUCAAACAUAAGAUUUGAAGUACUCUACUUGUGGGACUGAAUUGUAGUUAUUGAGCUCCAACUCAGAUGGACUCUUGCUACAUUUUUCUGCCCAUUAUAGCACAGAAUAAGACACAGACAAAUCUAUAUUUAGCAAAUAGAUGAGAUUUAAUAGGAGAAUGAUUAUUUUCUUAAACCUUUUUUUCCUAAGAUUCAUGUAAAAAGAACUCUAGUUCAUGUUAUAUUUAUUUUGUUUUUGGUAUGUGUUCCUCCCAUUUUCUAGUAGAACUUGUGGUGGCUUGGGAGUAAAAACCAAAUGUGAACACUGCCCAGUUAAAAGCAGGAGAAAGCAUGAAUGCUAAAAACUAGAAAACUAAAUUUGGUUCUAAUGAGGCUGCUGAGAAAUUUGUUGAACAUGUUGGGAAACAACUGUUCUCAUUCUGUAACAGAAAAACAGCUACAAAUUCAUUUCCAAAAGAUGAACAUUACUUUGGGACUAAACUCAGAAAUAUCCCACAUAUAUUAUUUAUUUCACUUCCCACAUAUAUAUUUAUAUAUCCCACAUAUAUUAUUAUUUAGCUUCAUCUCUAAAGCUAGCAUUUUGUGUGGGGG